AAGUGCUGGGAUCAAAGGCAUGCGCCACCAAGCCUGGUUUUGAUUAAAGAUUGUUAUGGCUAAGAAGCCAUAGAAUGGCUAUGUCUCACUACUCACUCUCCUGUGAUCCUAAAGUUCACAGUUAUGUCCACUUUUAUAGUCAAGAGAAACAGAUUGUGGGUGUGGGUGUGCCACACCAGAUUCCAUUCUAAACAUUUUAUCAUAUGCAAUAUGAUUUUUUUUUAUUGAAAAUUCCAAGAAGUGGGUAUUUAUUUCUCUUUUUUUUCCCCCAACAGAGCAAGACAAAUCCAGAGAGAUGAAGUGACUGACCCAAGGUUACACAGAAUGGAAUCUAUAUCUUCUGAUUUCUCUACUGUAAACCUUCAUAGUAAAAAUGAAGAAAUGAAGUACUAGAAUCAAAUCCAAACUGCCCAGGGAGCUGACAUCCAGAUCUUGCUUCACCACCUCUUGCCUCAGUAUGUGAGUCUGUCUUAGCAAAACUUCCUGUGAGCCUGUGUCAGCUGACAUCAUUCUGUCAAUCGACCUGAGUCCAAGGAAGUGGCAAGAAGCUGCCAGCCCACCACCAGAAGUAUUUUG
Mus pahari (shrew mouse) is the source of this 576-nucleotide long non-coding RNA. RefSeq lists it as uncharacterized. NCBI's taxonomy places the organism in Eukaryota, Metazoa, Chordata, Mammalia, Rodentia, Muridae. The transcript is spliced from 3 exons. The record is from RefSeq and is a predicted model, not a curated record.